Molecule: long non-coding RNA, 1248 nt
Organism: Triticum aestivum (bread wheat)
Lineage: Eukaryota; Viridiplantae; Streptophyta; Magnoliopsida; Poales; Poaceae
Exons: 3
Source: RefSeq, a predicted model, not a curated record
ACUCUGUAUUUUAGUAUUCAACCCGCAGUCCUUUAUUAAGUGAGAAAAACGUUUCGUUCAGGUUGUUUUUCUAAACGCCCCCUGUAGUUUCCAAUAUUCAACCCUUGGUCCACAAGCAAAAAAUAGAGCACGGGCUCUCCCUCACCUCCCGAUCCCAGCCGCCAGGAGGCGACCGACCCCGGCGACGCUCGAUCCGUUGCCGCGACGUGCGCCGGUCGGCGCCGGCGAGCACAGCACCCUGCACCACCGUUAAGCCUCAGAUCCUCCUCUCCUCCACGCGCGCCCGAGCUCGUCACUGUGUGCCGCCCGGGAGGGCUCGCGGUUCGAUGCAGAACGGCAGCGGACGGAGCUUGCAGGGCCCGGAUCUGCCGGGGGGGUGUGCCGGUGACGCGGAGGAAGGCCGGAGCACGCUUCCCGGUCGGCUCCAUGGUGGCUCCUGGGCAGAAAUCCAUGGCGCUCCUGGGCAGAAAGGAGAUAGGGAGGUGAGGGAGAAAGAAGGGACAGUGAUGAGCUCCACACAGAAAAGAAUCUCAUACUGCAAAGAUUGAUGGUCAGAUCAAGUGUAUUAAUGAAAUGUGCAACAUGAUGUCUCUUGAUCUUAAGAAGACAUUAUAUGAAGUUCAUCCCAGCUUUGUUGAAUUGGAAAGAAUCAAAUCCAUGAGUAUAAGUGAUAGCACACUUGAUAGGCUUGCAGGAAAAGUUCAUGCACUAAAUCAAGAAAAGAAACAGAGGCUCCGGAAGCUACAAGAUCAUGGAAGCACACUCAUUGAGUUAUGGAGUCUAAUAGACACACCAUUAGAUGAACAGAAAUGCUUUGAUCAUGUUACUUCUUUGAUUUCAGUCUCACAAAAUACAGCGAUGCCCCAAGGAUGCCUUGCACAUGACCUUAUUAAGAAGGUUAGAGUUGAUUCUUGAUUGUCUAUUUAUUUACUUAUUUUCUUUCUAUUUUCAUCAAGCUAAUUUCUUUAAAUUAUAGUAAAUGUCAUGUGAAAUUCCUUUCCCCCGUUGUUUGGGUAGAGGUUGAGGUCAAGAGACUGAAGCAUUUGAAAGCUCGCAAAAUGGAAGAGCUUGUCUUAAAGAAAAUGACUGAGCUUGAAGAAAUCUAGAAAAGUGUUCACAUGUAUAUUGACAGCAAUCAUGAGUGGCAGAUUCUCAAUGAACUUAUUGAUUCUGGUUCACUUCUUUCCCAUGCUUUUCAUCCUGAAGAUACAUAACUAAAGUUAUUAUAUACAGUUUUGUUUCCAUUAA